This 301-nucleotide ribosomal RNA is filed under the name uncultured bacterium. Its description in RNAcentral is "partial 16S ribosomal RNA". It matches the Rfam family "Bacterial small subunit ribosomal RNA", at positions 509 to 807 of the family's 1533-position model. The record is from RNAcentral.
CAGUAGCCGCGGGAAUACGUAGGGUGCGAGCGUUGUCCGGAAUUACUGGGCGUAAAGAGCUCGUAGGCGGUUUGUCGCGUCGUCUGUGAAAUUCUGCAGCUUAACUGUAGGCGUGCAGGCGAUACGGGCAGACUUGAGUACUACAGGGGAGACUGGAAUUCCUGGUGUAGCGGUGAAAUGCGCAGAUAUCAGGAGGAACACCGGUGGCGAAGGCGGGUCUCUGGGUAGUAACUGACGCUGAGGAGCGAAAGCGUGGGUAGCGAACAGGAUUAGAUACCCGCGUAGUCCCUGUCUCUUAUAC